RNAcentral lists this ribosomal RNA (253 nucleotides) under uncultured bacterium. Its description in RNAcentral is "partial 16S ribosomal RNA". It matches the Rfam family "Bacterial small subunit ribosomal RNA", at positions 524 to 776 of the family's 1533-position model. The record is from RNAcentral.
UACGUAGGGGGCAAGCGUUGUUCGGAAUUACUGGGCGUAAAGGGCGCGUAGGCGGCCUGUUAAGUCGAACGUGAAAUCCCCGGGCUCAACCCGGGAACUGCGUCCGAUACUGGCAGGCUUGAAUCCGGGAGAGGGAUGCGGAAUUCCAGGUGUAGCGGUGAAAUGCGUAGAUAUCUGGAGGAACACCGGUGGCGAAGGCGGCAUCCUGGACCGGUAUUGACGCUGAGGCGCGAAAGCCAGGGGAGCAAACGGG